AACGAACGCUGGCGGCAUGCCUAACACAUGCAAGUCGAACGAGACCUUCGGGUCUAGUGGCGCACGGGUGCGUAACGCGUGGGAACCUGCCCUUAGGUUCGGAAUAACUCCCCGAAAGGGGUGCUAAUACCGGAUAAUGUCUUCGGACCAAAGAUUUAUCGCCUUUGGAUGGGCCCGCGUUGGAUUAGCUAGUUGGUAGGGUAAAAGCCUACCAAGGCGACGAUCCAUAGCUGGUCUGAGAGGAUGAUCAGCCACACUGGGACUGGGACACGGCCCAGACUCCUACGGGAGGCAGCAGUGGGGAAUAUUGGACAACGGGCGAAAGCCUGAUCCAGCAAUGCCGCGUGAGUGAUGAAGGCCUUAGGGUUGUAAAGCUCUUUUACCCGGGAUGAUAAUGACAGUACCGGGAGAAUAAGCUCCGGCUAACUCCGUG
Molecule: ribosomal RNA, 433 nt
Filed under: uncultured bacterium
Lineage: Bacteria
Description: partial 16S ribosomal RNA
Rfam family: Bacterial small subunit ribosomal RNA
Source: RNAcentral